This 273-nucleotide small RNA is filed under the name Mycoplasmoides pneumoniae M129. Its description in RNAcentral is "Mycoplasma pneumoniae M129 ncRNA". The record is from RNAcentral. Lineage: Bacteria; Bacillati; Mycoplasmatota; Mycoplasmoidales; Mycoplasmoidaceae.
AACGAACUUUAUAGCGCUAGCGACACUAAAUUAAAGAGCCAUAAGGUGACUUUUUUUGUUUAGGGUCAUAAGUCCUUACAAACAAUUCCACAAAGACAUUGCAGUCAUAGUACUCCAGUAGUUUUUGACGCAUUUGCAUCCCGAUCUUUUUCACCAUUUGGGCAUUACGGCCAAUAAUAAUUUUUUUUUGACUAAGUUUAGGCACACUAAUGGAAAGGUGUAGCUUCAACAGGUUUUUAGCUUGAUCAAAACUCUUAUCGACAAUCUCUAGCC